Molecule: ribosomal RNA, 465 nt
Filed under: Vreelandella stevensii
Lineage: Bacteria; Pseudomonadati; Pseudomonadota; Gammaproteobacteria; Oceanospirillales; Halomonadaceae
Description: partial 16S ribosomal RNA
Rfam family: Bacterial small subunit ribosomal RNA
Source: RNAcentral
CCUACGGGUGGCAGCAGUGGGGAAUAUUGGACAAUGGGCGAAAGCCUGAUCCAGCCAUGCCGCGUGUGUGAAGAAGGCCUUCGGGUUGUAAAGCACUUUCAGUGGGGAAGAAAGCCUUGGGGCUAAUACCCUCGAGGAAGGACAUCACCCACAGAAGAAGCACCGGCUAACUCCGUGCCAGCAGCCGCGGUAAUACGGAGGGUGCGAGCGUUAAUCGGAAUUACUGGGCGUGAAGCGCGCGUAGGCGGUCUGAUAAGCCGGUUGUGAAAGCCCCGGGCUCAACCUGGGAACGGCAUCCGGAACUGUCAGGCUAGAGUGCAGGAGAGGAAGGUAGAAUUCCCGGUGUAGCGGUGAAAUGCGUAGAGAUCGGGAGGAAUACCAGUGGCGAAGGCGGCCUUCUGGACUGACACUGACGCUGAGGUGCGAAAGCGUGGGUAGCAAACAGGAUUAGAUACCCCAGUAGUC